UCUUCUCUUCUCUUCUCUUCUCUUCUCUUCCCCUUUUCUCUUUUUACCUUUUUUUCUUUUUUUUCUUCUUCUUUUUUUUUUUUUAGUUUCUUUUUUGAUACCACAGCUGUGGGCACUUCGCAGCUGAGUGGGGACCUGAUGAGCAAAGACCCACAGCUGGACUGGGUGGUGCUGGUGGAUGGUAGGGGGGACCCUCGGGGCACCCUGCAUGUAGGCUUUAAAUACAGAAAAAGGCAGAUUAAUUAGCUACAUAAACAACAGCACGUUUAUUAAUUUUACAGGCAGUGCUCGAUGAGCAAUGGCACCGGCCCUGAACCCAGCUGCACUUUGUCAGAGCCGUGUGCGGUGCUCCAAGGCCGAGCUGGGCUCUUGCCUCUUGGGGCUCCUGGCUGGGCUCGGGGUGCUGCUGCUUGGGCUCAGCAGGGCUCUGGGCUCAUUUGGCUGGGUUUGGGGCUCGGGCACAGGACUGAGCUGGGUGUUCCUGAGCCUUGGAAAUGGAGCCUGAGCCCUGUGUUUUGGGGGCUUGGGAAGAGGCCCAGUGUGCUGCUAUUGAGGCUUGAAAACAGGGAGCCCGUGCUGUGUGCUGGGGUUCCAAAGCAAGACGGAGAUGCAAAUGAGCCAAAGCAGCAGUGAGUGGGAAGUGAACCAAAGAUCUCCAGCAGGGCUGGAGAUGUCAGCUAUCUAGAGGUGGAGAUGUCUGUGAGCUGGAAGCACAAUAUGUUAAGGAUGUUCUGGGCUAAUAAAUCAAUAAAUACAAACUGAAUCAGUCAGUGCCUAUACAAUGUACAACUAUGGCACUGAAUAUUAAUAUUCAAGUUAUGACAGUGAUUGACUUAUGACCUUGUCUAAAGUCCAAACUGUUUGAACAAGUACAGGCUGGAAGUAUCCAGGGCUCCCUGGAUACCUGUGCUCCCUGCAGUGUCCCACCUGCUCAGUAAAGCAACAGCAUAAAGCAAUGGUGAGCUGCAUACACAAACAGCCCCAGCUGCAGGAGAAACCCACCCCAGGUGGGUGCAGGUCCCUCAUCCAGCUCCAGCAGCCCCAAAGGAUGUGCCCUGACACCCAUGGCCAAACACUGAUACUAACCUUAAACCAGGAGCUACCAGCCACCACCGUGUGAGCUGUGCCUCGUGAUCCACCUGCAGGAGUUGAAAGGAUCUGUGCUGAAACCUGUGUGUGAAGAGAGUGUGAAAAGGAAGCAGGCCUGCUCAGGCACUUCUUGCACAGCCAAUAGAAGACAGCCCUAAGAUGUUUCAGCACUGGUGUGAGCCCUGCUGCUCCAUCUACUUCACCAGCUCUUGUUAUAGACCCCAGUCCUGUGUUUACCAUGCACUUGCUGAAAUAUGGAGCUGCACAGAAUUGUAAGGAUCAAGAUAGAAGUCCAGUGUUCUUAGAAAACAUUUUAG
Long non-coding RNA from Cygnus olor (mute swan), 1406 nucleotides. RefSeq lists it as uncharacterized. The transcript has 3 exons. The record is from RefSeq and is a predicted model, not a curated record. NCBI's taxonomy places the organism in Eukaryota, Metazoa, Chordata, Aves, Anseriformes, Anatidae.